RNAcentral lists this ribosomal RNA (322 nucleotides) under uncultured cercomonad. Its description in RNAcentral is "SSU rRNA". The stretch from base 110 to 322 matches the Rfam family "Eukaryotic small subunit ribosomal RNA", at positions 741 to 955 of the family's 1831-position model. Lineage: Eukaryota; Cercozoa; Cercomonadida; Cercomonadidae. The record is from RNAcentral.
GAUUUCUGGCUUGGCGCGCGCGGCUCGCCGCGGUUACGCGUGUGAAUGCCGUAGUGCGCCGGUCAUCCUUCUGGUUAACGUUGGUGCCCUUCACUGGGUGGCUGAUGCGAAUCAGAUCAUUUACUUUGAAAAAAUUAGAGUGUUUAAAGCAGGCUUGCGCUAUGAAUACAUUAGCAUGGAAUAAUAAUUUAGGACUUUGGUUCUAUUUUGUUGGUUUCUAGGACUGAAGUAAUGAUUGAUAGGGACAGUUGGGGGUGCUAGUAUUCAGCGGCCAGAGGUGAAAUUCUCGGAUUCGCUGAAGACUAACUUAUGCGAAAGCAUU